RNAcentral lists this transfer RNA (72 nucleotides) under Fidelibacterota bacterium. RNAcentral describes it as "Candidatus Marinimicrobia bacterium tRNA-Gly". It matches the Rfam family "tRNA". From Rfam's summary of the family: Transfer RNA (tRNA) molecules are approximately 80 nucleotides in length. Their secondary structure includes four short double-helical elements and three loops (D, anti-codon, and T loops). The record is from RNAcentral. Lineage: Bacteria; Pseudomonadati; Fidelibacterota.
GCGGGCGUCGUAUAAUGGCUAUUACCCGAGCUUCCCAAGCUCGUUACGUGAGUUCGAUUCUCAUCGCCCGCU